GUGGAUCAGACAGCGGCUCGCAUGGACGCGACUCUCCUUCCUUCCCUUCAAUCAGCGGCGGCAGGCUGGAGGAUCUAAAGCGACCAAACAGAGAGAGAGAGAGGGAGAGAGUGUAUGUGUGCACCGGUUAAAAAUGCGGGUGGAUAAAAAAUUAACCGGGACGCUGAAGACUGAGGAGCGCGAGGCAACCGUAGAGAGAGAGAGAGAGAGAGAGAGAGAGAGAGAGAGAGAGCAAGCAACAACAAUAGGAGAGAGAAAGAGAGAGAGCAAGGGAGAGGGAGAGUGGCUGAGACACACGACACACGCCACCUAUCUUCACACGGAGGGAUAAUGGAGGAGUGCGCAUCUCAUGGGAAGCGUCAGAAGUUUGUUGCUUUUUUAUUCUUCAUCUUCUUCCGUUUUUUUUUUUAAAUUAUAAAGAAGUCACAUUUCCACUAACGUUAGUGUUAAAUCUGGACUUUCAUAAUGUCCCAUAACUCGUUUCUUGUUUCUUAAUUUCUCUUAAAAACUAAUCAGGAUCAAACAACUAGGAUUGGAAUUUUUUUCCUUUUAAUUUAAAUAUUUUUUUGGUCUUCGUUGGUUGAAUAACUUUGGCCUCGUCCCAGAUUGCACGUCAGUUUUUAACCACAGAUUAGAAGAUUUUUCCACUGAUUGUGUUCUACGCUGUUUAGUAGUUUAGUGUGCGGUUUGGGACGGAGCCUGUUAGUCUUUUAAACGCGGUGCCUCGUGCUGCCUUCAUGCGCGACAGGAUUUGUGGUCAAUACGAGUUUCCGACUUAACAGUUGCGCGUCCGUUCAAGCCGCACUAAAAGAAUCAAAAUAAUGCAAAAUAUCAAAUAUCAUACCAGAGUUGUUGACUUGUCUCAAAGCGCCAUUGUCAGCAUGAGAGAGGAAUUCGGUGGACUGUGGUAGGUCAUUCUAUUCAUAUAUAUUUAUAUAUAUAUAUAUAACAUUUUUAUUAAUAAUAUUAUUCAAUUACUUUUUGGGUUUCUGAUUUUUUCCCCUAACCGUUGGAUGUAAUGUGAAGAUUUUUCUGUCAGCCUGUGAAAUAAAGAAGAUGCUGAAAUAAUCUAUAGUUGCUAUCUAACUUGAAUGCGCAAUUAUUUUUUUUAAUUCAAUUUGAAGGUGCAUGUGAAUAUAGCGUCAGGAUUCUCCAGCACGCGCAAGUAGAUUCCAGGUGUGACAGUGAGUUUUCUUUUAAAUUAAUUUAAUAUAUAUUUUUUAUUUUUUAAUGUUUUAAUAGUGUACAAUUAUACAUUUCUGCUCUAUCUAUCUAUCUAUCUAUCUAUCUAUCUAUCUAUCUAUCUAUCUAUCU
Molecule: long non-coding RNA, 1314 nt
Organism: Hemibagrus wyckioides
Lineage: Eukaryota; Metazoa; Chordata; Actinopteri; Siluriformes; Bagridae
Exons: 3
Source: RefSeq, a predicted model, not a curated record